GAUGAACGCUGGCGGCGUGCCUAACACAUGCAAGUCGAACGGAGUCCAGCCUUUUAGACCUUCGGGUCAAAGAGGGGAAGACUGAGUGACGGACGGGUGAGUAACACGUGGGCAACCUGGCUCAUCGAGGGGGUGAACAGAGAGAAAUUUCUGCUAAUCCCGCAUAGGCACACACUGCCGCAUGGCCGAGUGUGAAGAGAGAACCGCUAUGAGAUGGACCUGCGUCUGAUUAGCCAGUUGGCAGGGGAAGAGCCUACCAAAGCGACGAACAGUAGCCGAGAUGAGGAGAUGACAGACCACAUUGGGAAUGAGACACGGCCCAAAAUGCUAGGGGAGGGAGCAGUGGGGGAUAUAGCGGAAGGGAGGGAACUGUGAUGAAGCGACGCCGGGGAAGUGAGGAUGUAUUUCGGUAUGUAAAGCCCUCUCAGCAGAGAAGUUAAUGACAGUACCGGGAUAAGAAGCCCCGGCUAACUACGUG
This 478-nucleotide ribosomal RNA is filed under the name uncultured bacterium. RNAcentral's name for it is "partial 16S ribosomal RNA". It matches the Rfam family "Bacterial small subunit ribosomal RNA", at positions 28 to 507 of the family's 1533-position model. The record is from RNAcentral.